Molecule: long non-coding RNA, 2159 nt
Organism: Orbicella faveolata
Lineage: Eukaryota; Metazoa; Cnidaria; Anthozoa; Scleractinia; Merulinidae
Source: RefSeq, a predicted model, not a curated record
AGACAGUCAUUGCUAUUGAAAGAGUAAUAUCUGGUCAGUGGUGCCAGGUGUUUUUUUCAUGGUAGCGAUACUGGCUCCAUGUUCUUAAUUUGGAGUCUGUGAUCACAAUUAAGCUUACAUGUACAUCUGUAACACAAUAGUAGUAACAACAUGAUGGCAUAAAUGGUGGUAUCUUGUGAAUUAGAAUGCCAAGUGACUUUUGUUGAACCAUAUUUAUCACCAUCAUGAAGUAAAUGGUUACCAGAAUAACAUCAUACUCUGUCAAGCAUCCUUAUUGUAGCUAGUUAACAUGCUAAUAGAUUAGAAAGAGCUCUGUGAGCUCCCCAUUUUCCCUCAGAAUUGUUUCUUACUGAUAUACCAUAGACUUUCUGAAAUCUGGUUGGCCAAUAAUUUAAUAUAAAUGAUGCUUGUCUGACUUUUGAUCAAUGUUAAUUGAAAAUGUUUUCCUUUUUUGCUUUAUUCUCUCUAAUUUUAGAAACCAACAGUGAAUGGAAUUGAGUUCAGUUGGGAAACCCUAAAAAACAAAUUGGGUCUUAAAAUUCAGCCUUUCAAUGGUCCAGGGAUCAGGUAUUACCUUAACAUUGACCGCUGUGCAUAUGGUGGUGUAAUAGCUGUACGUUCUUUGUUGGAUGGCACUCCGCAAGUACGUGGUGCUGAGAUUCUGGCCGCAAAGUCCGUGAACUCUGAGUGUACCCAAGUAUAUUACAAUGAUGACGGAGUUUGGAAACGCUAUGAAAGUGCCACAAAUAUUCGUUGCAAGCCCUGAAAAAGAGUGAGGACGGAUUAAGCGAUGGAUCAACGCUUUAAGAGGAUUUCCUAUUGUCAAUAUAUCAAUCAAAAGCGUUAUUACAGUGUCUUUUCCUCAAGCCAGCCAUCAAGCCCUGCUAAUCGGGGACACUAAAGCGUACUUUUCGACACUUGUUCCUACGAAUGUAGCUUCAUGUCAGCGCAAAAUGGACUUUUGCGAGAGAGUCUAUCAGUUAAAUAAGUUGUAGUGAGCGACAUUUAGUAGUGGUUCGGUUUACAAGGUCAGCUGCAAAGAAGGCCAUCUCCAAUAUUACUGAGGAAAUGAAAAAUUCUGCAUGACCAACCUCAGGGUAACAUGCGGCAACAUGCGCUGAAUUUCUUUUUUCAUGCUAUAGCCAAAAAUGUCACAUAUUGCUCGUUAAUGUCGAUCUGGUCUUGACUGUUUAAGUGUUUAUGAAUUUACGGUUUGAAACAACCUUUGUCUGAAUCUAAACUAGUUUAGGUUAGACUUCCUAUCAUGUUACCUAUGCUGCUUUUCUUCCUUUCAUCCAAGGUGAAAAUGAGGAAAAUGCCAGUGCGCGCGUGUAGCAGCGGACGCUUUUUUUGGCGCGAGAAUAUGGCUUCUUUGAGCCCACGUGACUUGAGAGGGCCACAGAAGCACAGACAGAAGCACGCAAUCAAGGAGGCAUUCUCCAAAACAUAACUCUACGUCCUGUAAUUGAGCUGUAAUAUUUAUCGUGUAAAAACAAACACUUAUAGAAAAUAGCCAAGGUGGACACAGGAGAACGCUCUUUAUAUGAACUCUGCCCGUGUUUUUAAUACCAGCACUAGCUAGGUGAGGGUGGUAUCAAAAAUUGUCUGCUUUCUCCGAGUUUUUUCCUAAGAUUAUAUGGGAUGUUCUCUAUACUUUAAUGAUUGUAUUCUAAUUUUGUGUUCAGUGUUAGUUUCUCAGGUCCUUUAAUUCAGGGCACUUAGAAAAUAACCCAGCCAAAAAUUUGUUUUUCGGCUGGAAACAGAGCUUAUUAGAGUUGUUACCCUCUUCAUUUAAAUUAUUACUUUAUUUAUCUCGCAGAUUAUUGCGUUCAGUUUAGUACACGGCCUGGUUAGUGUUAAGUGGGUAGACGCUGUUGUUUUCGCUAGCUGUUUAGAACUAACAGAUCUCUCCAGGAGCCAUAAUCGGGGACGGAGUCCCCGAUCAAGCCGAGUUUAUAUUUCAGUCAUAAUUUUCGUUGUACUGUUCUUAUCACGUUUAAUGAUCGUUUACGACUCGUCUUUACUUCUCUCCUCCCCCUCCCCCUCCCCCCGCUCUAUAUCAGUACCCCUCACAGUAAAGUGAUAACCCUCCACAUAGCAGGUUAGUGUACGAAGAUGUACUACAACUUUAUGAAAUAAAACAUCGUUCUUUUCGAAAA